This is a long non-coding RNA of Magnolia sinica, 693 nucleotides long. RefSeq lists it as uncharacterized. The record is from RefSeq and is a predicted model, not a curated record. Lineage: Eukaryota; Viridiplantae; Streptophyta; Magnoliopsida; Magnoliales; Magnoliaceae. The transcript is spliced from 3 exons.
CUUUCCUCCACAUGAACCAUGAUCAGAUACUUAAGGUUAAAGGCUCAAGAAGCCCUACCAGUGAGGAUUCUACCUUCAGUGAUCAACUAAUCUAUCUUCUAACAUGGUUGCUAGGUGACUUGGUCAGGUUUUGUUUAAGCAUCUGCAGGAGAAGCUCAUCAUUACUGAGGCAAAGUUAAAGGAGUCUCAGUAUCAAUUAGCCCCAUGGCGUUUAGAUGUAGUGAAUAACUCUAGUUCUGCACCUGAGUCUCUAUCUCAUUCCUUUGGUGCUGCACUGAAUACUUCAGUAUGAUCACUUCUUGUUUCUUUUUCCCUUCUUGGAGGAUAGUUUCCUUAAAUUUGUGUGUUGAUUUCUCAUAACAGAAGUUUUAAAAUUGUGCCUCAGCCAACAUAUGCCCAUGCACAUACACCAAUUUCUUCUCCUUUCAAUGCUCUGACAACAAAAAGUUGACUGGGAAGUAUUAGGACACCAUAAUCAUCACAUUGUGGUGUUGUUACAAAAAAUCUAGACCAUGAGAACUUGGGAAGGUCUUCUCCUUCUGUAAGCAGGUGAGAUUUGUCAAAUUAAGGAGAACGCUCUCAGGGAAAAGUCAGAGAAGCCAUUUUUUCUUUGUUGAUGGUUUCUGUUUUCUUUGCUCUCAGCAAAAAGUUAGAGUGACGCCAAUCUCAUGAUUCUUUAAAUGUGUGUUUGGA